Molecule: unclassified non-coding RNA, 253 nt
Filed under: uncultured Cytophagales bacterium
Lineage: Bacteria; Pseudomonadati; Bacteroidota; Sphingobacteriia; Sphingobacteriales
Description: contains 16S-23S intergenic spacer region
Rfam family: Bacterial small subunit ribosomal RNA
Source: RNAcentral
UACGGAGGGUGCAAGCGUUGUCCGGCUUUAUUGGGUUUAACGGGUGCGUAGGCGGAUGAUUAAGACAGUGGUGAAAGCCCACAGCUCAACCGUGGAACUGCCAUUGAUACUGGUUAUCUUGAGUAUAGAUGAGGCAGGCGGAAUUUACGAUGUAGCGGUGGAAUGCAUAGAUAUCGUAAAGAACACCUAUAGCGAAUGCAGCUUGCUAAACUAUAACUGGCGCUGAGGCACGAAAGCAUGGGUAGCGAACAGG